AAUCCCGUGAACCAUCGAGUUUUUGAACGCAAGUUGCGCCCGAAGCCUUCGGGCCGAGGGCACGCCUGCCUGGGCGUCACGCAUCGCGUCGCCCCCUCCACCCCGUCCUAGUANGCGGGGGGGGCGGAAACUGGNCUUCCGUGCGCUUCCGUCGCGCGGGCGGGCC
RNAcentral lists this ribosomal RNA (166 nucleotides) under Dicliptera sp. Daniel & al. 10476. RNAcentral describes it as "5.8S ribosomal RNA". The stretch from base 1 to 79 matches the Rfam family "5.8S ribosomal RNA", at positions 78 to 154 of the family's 154-position model. Lineage: Eukaryota; Viridiplantae; Streptophyta; Magnoliopsida; Lamiales; Acanthaceae. The record is from RNAcentral.